Molecule: ribosomal RNA, 484 nt
Filed under: uncultured bacterium
Lineage: Bacteria
Description: partial 16S ribosomal RNA
Rfam family: Bacterial small subunit ribosomal RNA
Source: RNAcentral
GUUGAACGCUGGCGGCAGGCCUAACACAUGCAAGUCGAGCGGAUGAAGGGAGCUUGCUCCUGGAUUCAGCGUCGGACGGGUGAGUAAUGCCUAGGAAUCUGCCUGGUAGUGGGGGAUAACGUCCGGAAACGGGCGCUAAUACCGCAUACGUCCUGAGGGAGAAAGUGGGGGAUCUUCGGACCUCACGCUAUCAGAUGAGCCUAGGUCGGAUUAGCUAGUUGGUGGGGUAAAGGCCUACCAAGGCGACGAUCCGUAACUGGUCUGAGAGGAUGAUCAGUCACACUGGAACUGAGACACGGUCCAGACUCCUACGGGAGGCAGCAGUGGGGAAUAUUGGACAAUGGGCGAAAGCCUGAUCCAGCCAUGCCGCGUGUGUGAAGCAGGUCUUCGGAUUGUAAAGCACUUUAAGUUGGGAGGACGGGCAGUAAGUUAAUCCCUUGCUGUUUUGACGGUACCAACAGAAUAAGCACCGGCUAACUUCGUG